UACGAAGGGGUCUAGCGUUGUUCGGAAUUACUGGGCGUAAAGCGCACGUAGGCGGAUCGAUCAGUCAGGGGUGAAAUCCCAGAGCUCAACUCUGGAACUGCCUUUGAUACUGUCGGUCUAGAGUAUGGAAGAGGUGAGUGGAAUUCCGAGUGUAGAGGUGAAAUUCGUAGAUAUUCGGAGGAACACCAGUGGCGAAGGCGACUACCUGGACCAGCACUGACACUGAGGCACGAAAGCGUGGGGAGCAAACAGG
RNAcentral lists this ribosomal RNA (253 nucleotides) under uncultured bacterium. Its description in RNAcentral is "partial 16S ribosomal RNA". It matches the Rfam family "Bacterial small subunit ribosomal RNA", at positions 524 to 776 of the family's 1533-position model. The record is from RNAcentral.